Molecule: ribosomal RNA, 696 nt
Filed under: Escherichia coli
Lineage: Bacteria; Pseudomonadati; Pseudomonadota; Gammaproteobacteria; Enterobacterales; Enterobacteriaceae
Description: partial 23S ribosomal RNA
Rfam family: Bacterial large subunit ribosomal RNA
Source: RNAcentral
CCCGUACACAAAAAUGCACAUGCUGUGAGCUCGAUGAGUAGGGCGGGACACGUGGUAUCCUGUCUGAAUAUGGGGGGACCAUCCUCCAAGGCUAAAUACUCCUGACUGACCGAUAGUGAACCAGUACCGUGAGGGAAAGGCGAAAAGAACCCCGGCGAGGGGAGUGAAAAAGAACCUGAAACCGUGUACGUACAAGCAGUGGGAGCACGCUUAGGCGUGUGACUGCGUACCUUUUGUAUAAUGGGUCAGCGACUUAUAUUCUGUAGCAAGGUUAACCGAAUAGGGGAGCCGAAGGGAAACCGAGUCUUAACUGGGCGUUAAGUUGCAGGGUAUAGACCCGAAACCCGGUGAUCUAGCCAUGGGCAGGUUGAAGGUUGGGUAACACUAACUGGAGGACCGAACCGACUAAUGUUGAAAAAUUAGCGGAUGACUUGUGGCUGGGGGUGAAAGGCCAAUCAAACCGGGAGAUAGCUGGUUCUCCCCGAAAGCUAUUUAGGUAGCGCCUCGUGAAUUCAUCUCCGGGGGUAGAGCACUGUUUCGGCAAGGGGGUCAUCCCGACUUACCAACCCGAUGCAAACUGCGAAUACCGGAGAAUGUUAUCACGGGAGACACACGGCGGGUGCUAACGUCCGUCGUGAAGAGGGAAACAACCCAGACCGCCAGCUAAGGUCCCAAAGUCAUGGUUAAGUGGGAAAC